This 460-nucleotide ribosomal RNA is filed under the name uncultured bacterium. RNAcentral describes it as "partial 16S ribosomal RNA". It matches the Rfam family "Bacterial small subunit ribosomal RNA", at positions 338 to 795 of the family's 1533-position model. The record is from RNAcentral.
CCUACGGGUGGCAGCAGUGAGGAAUAUUGGUCAAUGGACGAGAGUCUGAACCAGCCAAGUAGCGUGAAGGAUGACUGCCCUAUGGGUUGUAAACUUCUUUUAUAUGGGAAUAAAAUGUUCCACGUGUGGGAUUUUGUAUGUACCAUAUGAAUAAGGAUCGGCUAACUCCGUGCCAGCAGCCGCGGUAAUACGGGGGGUGCAAGCGUUGUCCGGAAUCAUUGGGCGUAAAGAGUUCGUAGGUGGCACGUUAAGUCUGGUGUUAAAGGCGGAAGCUCAACUUCCGUAGGGCACUGGAUACUGGCGAGCUUGAAUGCGGUAGAGGUAAAGGGAAUUCCUGGUGUAGCGGUGAAAUGCGUAGAUAUCAGGAGGAACAUCGGUGGCGUAAGCGCUUUACUGGGCCGUAAUUGACACUGAGGAACGAAAGCCGGGGUAGCAAAUGGGAUUAGAUACCCCAGUAGUC